GUGGGGAAUCUUCCGCAAUGGACGAAAGUCUGACGGAGCAACGCCGCGUGAGUGAUGACGGUCUUCGGAUUGUAAAGCUCUGUUAAUCGGGACGAAAGAGCUCUGUGUGAAUAAUGCAGAGAAGUGACGGUACCGGAAUAGAAAGCCACGGCUAACUACGUGCCAGCAGCCGCGGUAAUACGUAGGUGGCAAGCGUUGUCCGGAAUUAUUGGGGGUAAAGCGCGCGCAGGCGGGUUUUUAAGUCUGUCUUAAAAGUUCGGGGCUUAACCCCGUGAGGGGAUGGAAACUGGAAACCUAGAGUAUCGGAGAGGAAAGCGGAAUUCCUAGUGUAGCGGUGAAAUGCGUAGAUAUUAGGAAGAACACCAGUGGCGAAGGCGGCUUUCUGGACGAAAACUGACGCUGAGGCGCGAAAGCCAGGGGAGCAAACGGGAUUAGAAACCCGGGUAGUCC
Molecule: ribosomal RNA, 450 nt
Filed under: uncultured bacterium
Lineage: Bacteria
Description: partial 16S ribosomal RNA
Rfam family: Bacterial small subunit ribosomal RNA
Source: RNAcentral